UGAGUAACCUGCCCCAGACUCUGGGAUAAGCACUGGAAACGGUGUCUAAUACCGGAUAUGAGCUUCAGCCGCAUGGCUAGGAGUUGGAAAGUAAUUUCGGUUUGGGAUGGACUCGCGGCCUAUCAGCUUGUUGGUGAGGUAAUGGCUCGCCAAGGCGACGACGGGUAGCCGGCCUGGAGAGGGUGACCCGGCCACACGUGGGACUGAGACGACGGCCCAGACCUCCGUACGGGAGNAG
RNAcentral lists this ribosomal RNA (238 nucleotides) under uncultured bacterium. RNAcentral's name for it is "partial 16S ribosomal RNA". It matches the Rfam family "Bacterial small subunit ribosomal RNA", at positions 118 to 347 of the family's 1533-position model. The record is from RNAcentral.